GAUGAACGUUGGCGGUGUGCCUAAUACAUGCAAGUCGAACGGAGUCAGUAGCAAUAUUGGCUCAGUGGCGAACGGGUGAGUAACGCGUUGGUGAUCUGCCUUGAAGUGUGGAAUAACGUUUCGAAAGGGACGCUAAUACCGCAUGUGCUCUCGAUUUUUAGAACGUUGAGAGUAAAGGAUUUAUUCGCUUCAAGAGGAGCCUGCGUCCCAUCAGCUGGUUGGUAGGGUAACGGCCUACCAAGGCUAUGACGGGUAGGGGACCUGAGAGGGUGGCCCCCCACAAUGGAACUGAAACACGGUCCAUACACCUACGGGUGGCAGCAGUAGGGAAUAUUAGAAAUGGACGAAAGUCUGAUCUAGCAACACCGCGUGUGCGAAGAAGGCCUUCGGGUCGUAAAGCACUUUUUGGAAGGAAUAGGAAGAAUGUACUUCCAGAAUAAAGUCUCGGCUAAACUACGUAGCCAAGCAGCCGCGGUAAAAGUCAACGUCG
RNAcentral lists this ribosomal RNA (490 nucleotides) under uncultured bacterium. RNAcentral's name for it is "bacterial SSU rRNA". It matches the Rfam family "Bacterial small subunit ribosomal RNA", at positions 28 to 543 of the family's 1533-position model. The record is from RNAcentral.